AGAGUUUGAUCCUGGCUCAGAACGAACGCUGGCGGCGCGCUUAACACAUGCAAGUCGAGCGCUUCUGGGGCAACUCAGAGGAGCGGCGCACGGGUGCGUAACACGUGGGUAAUCUGCCCGGAAGUGUGGGAUAACUCGCCGAAAGGCGAGCUAAUACCGCAUAAGCUCCCGAGGUCUUCGGACCUGGAGAGAAAAGGAGCAAUUCGCUUCCGGAUGAGCCCGCGGCCCAUCAGCUUGUUGGCGGGGUAACGGCCCACCAAGGCUAAGACGGGUAGCUGGUCUGAGAGGACGGCCAGCCACACUGGAACUGAGACACGGUCCAGACUCCUACGGGAGGCAGCAGUGGGGAAUCUUGCGCAAUGGGCGAAAGCCUGACGCAGCGACGCCGUGUGUGCGAUGAAGGUCUUCGGAUCGUAAAGCACUGUCGCCCGGGACAAAGCAAGUGAUGGUACCGGGAGAGGAAGCACCGGCUAACUCUGUGCCAGCAGCCGCGGUAAUACAAAGGGUGCGAGCGUUGUUCGGAAUUAUUGGGCGUAAAGCGCUGGUAGGUGGCUUGUUAAGUCGCGUGUGAAAGCUCCCGGCUCAACCGGGAAAGGGCGCGCGAAACUGGCGAGCUUGAGUGCCGGAGAGGGUCGCGGAAUUCCCAGUGUAGAGGUGAAAUUCGUAGAUAUUGGGAGGAACACCAGAGGCGAAGGCGGCGACCUGGAAGGUGACUGACACUGAGCAGCGAAAGCGUGGGGAGCAAACAGGAUUAGAUACCCCAGUAGUCC
This 770-nucleotide ribosomal RNA is filed under the name uncultured bacterium. RNAcentral's name for it is "bacterial SSU rRNA". It matches the Rfam family "Bacterial small subunit ribosomal RNA", at positions 8 to 796 of the family's 1533-position model. The record is from RNAcentral.